Molecule: ribosomal RNA, 96 nt
Organism: Otolemur garnettii (small-eared galago)
Lineage: Eukaryota; Metazoa; Chordata; Mammalia; Primates; Galagidae
Source: Ensembl
GUCUACAGCCAUACAACCCUGAAUGCACCUGAUCUCAUCUGAUCUCGGAAGCUAAGCAGGGUUGGGUUAGUACUUGGAUUGGAGGAAUCAUAGUCU